AUGAAGUUGGAAUCGCUAGUAAUCGCGGAUCAGCAUGCCGCGGUGAAUACGUUCCGGGCCUUGUACACACCGCCCGUCACACCAUGAGAGCCGGGGGGACCCGAAGUCCGUAGCCUAACUGCAAGGAGGGCGCGGCCGAAGGUAAAACUGGUGAUUGGGGUGAAGUCGUAACAAGGUAAC
This 180-nucleotide ribosomal RNA is filed under the name uncultured bacterium. Its description in RNAcentral is "partial 16S ribosomal RNA". It matches the Rfam family "Bacterial small subunit ribosomal RNA", at positions 1320 to 1500 of the family's 1533-position model. The record is from RNAcentral.